AUGAGCGAAGAGGGUGGAAAGAUGAACAGAGAGCUCCGGCAACGGUGGCAGCCACCGGCGAGCCAUCGCCGGCAAACUAUUACUACGGGACAUUUCAAGGAGUCGCCAAUUAUCAAACUCCUCCUUCGCAUUCUCAAUCGGUCUUCGGUUUCCCUCAACCUAUACCUCCUCCUGGUGUCCCGUUGUUCCUCCGUGUUACUAUCCUCAUGGUUAUCAGACCGUUCAAGGUUAUAUUGUUGCCGAAGGUAGACCCAUAAGGGAGCAUCGGCUUCCUUGCUGUGGUAUGGGAAUUGGCUGGUUCUUGUUCAUUAUUGGUUUCUUUCUUGGUGCCAUUCCCUGGUACAUUGGAGCUUUUCUUCUUUUGUGUGCUCGGCUCGAUUAUAGAGAAAAACCUGGAUUUAUUGCAUGCACCUUAGCAGCUACACUUGCUUUGGUUGCUGUGACUCUUGGUGUAACAAAGGUAAAUUAUACCCGGUGAGAGACCGAUUCAUGCUGCAAAUGUUGUAAAUUUUCACGCAUAUAUAUAUCCAUAAAGGAAAAAAAAAAGAUAAAUGAAUGGGAAGGGAAUUUCACGAAUAUGUCCACCUAGUGGGAUUUCACUGGGUAUGUUGUUUGGAGUCGUCGUUUAUUAUUGCAAUUUGUAUAUAGCAGAUACCAACUAUGCUUAUAUUCUGGUAAUGCAAUUCUAAGUUAGUCUUCGUUCAAUGUAUUCUUCUAAAGUAUUUAUUAAAAUGGCCAAUAUAAAUGCAGUAUUUGAUUUGGAGGAUUGUACUACAUUGUUUUUUGGAUUCAUAUGGAAGAGAUUGACAAUACAUUUA
RNA transcript from Solanum verrucosum, 818 nucleotides. It is a transcript of the gene named 60S ribosomal protein L18a-like protein, with no coding region annotated. NCBI's taxonomy places the organism in Eukaryota, Viridiplantae, Streptophyta, Magnoliopsida, Solanales, Solanaceae. The record is from RefSeq and is a predicted model, not a curated record. The transcript is spliced from 4 exons.